This 441-nucleotide ribosomal RNA is filed under the name Phronimopsis spinifera. RNAcentral's name for it is "SSU rRNA". It matches the Rfam family "Eukaryotic small subunit ribosomal RNA", at positions 51 to 414 of the family's 1831-position model. The record is from RNAcentral. Lineage: Eukaryota; Metazoa; Arthropoda; Malacostraca; Amphipoda; Lestrigonidae.
AUGCAUGCCUAAGUACAGCUCGGCGGGACACCCUGCCGGGCGAAACCGCAGACGGCUCAUUAAAUCAGUUGUGGUCUAAGUGGGCUUUAGUUUCCUUUUGGAUAACUGUGGAAAAUCCAGAGCUAAUACAUGCUGUGACAGUCCUCAGCCAAGGCCCUCGUGGUUACUAACUGGGGAUGCUUUUAUUAGACCGAGGCGCGCGCAUCGUCGGUGUAGCAUCUGUCUUCAUUGAUGGGGAAGCUGCCGAUUGUGUGUCGCACGUAAGCGCUUAAUGGUGACUCUGGAUAACAUUGAUAAGCGUGCUUUAAUUAGCACGCUGCCUACUUACGAGUGACUGUCCUAUCAGCUAUUAACGUAUGUUAUAUGCUUACGUUGGCUAUGACGGGUAACGGGGAAUCAGAGUUCGAUUCCGGAGAGGCAGCCUGAGAAACGGCUACCACG